Molecule: transfer-messenger RNA, 99 nt
Filed under: Acidiferrobacteraceae bacterium
Lineage: Bacteria; Pseudomonadati; Pseudomonadota; Gammaproteobacteria; Acidiferrobacterales; Acidiferrobacteraceae
Description: partial transfer-messenger RNA
Rfam family: transfer-messenger RNA
About the family: Bacterial tmRNA, also known as 10Sa RNA or SsrA, is named for its dual tRNA and mRNA-like properties. Its role is to liberate the mRNA from a stalled ribosome.
Source: RNAcentral
GGGGGCGACCUGGUUUCGACGUGGAUUACAAAGCCAUCGGAGCAUGUCGAGGUGCAGAUCUCCUCGUAAAUCCAACUGCAAACUAUUAGUUGCCAACGA